GGGACAUGUGAUAACGGCGUUUCUAUACGGCGCGCUGCGUGGAACGCUUCCGCGUCUUGCCGGUGGUAGAGAGCUACAGUGGUUCCUAUAUACAGUUUAAACAUCCCCACUACACUGAUUUACUCAUUAAUGUACUGAUUUUGACGCCAAAACACCAGCUAUGAUUUUGGUGGGGGAUAUGCUCGUCCCCUCACCUUGUAAGUUACCAAUACAGGACACAGCAAAGCAGUGGUGUACACCACCUGUGAGGGGGAGCAUCGGGUGGGCCUGAACUCAGUAUAUACUUGGACUCAAGAUCCAAUGAGUAACUCAUCCGUGCUGAGUUCAGCAUGUCUGUCCCGACGGCCAGAUGCUUGAUACGCCGGGCACCAUAACUGGCAAGCUAUGUCUAGGUAGUAAAUCCUGGCAGCAUGUUUUCUAUGUACUUAGGGAGUCGACAUGGGCAGCACUACUCUGUCCAUGUCUUCCUGAAGGCGGGGUUACUGUGGCAUGUGGGUUGAGCCCCACAGACCAGGACAUUACACUUAGAGAGGGCAUGCACCUGGUGGAUUUAAUUUUUUUUCUCGCUGGACGUGUCUGAGCUUGUGCCACUCCCACGGGAUUCCAGUUGAGGAAGACCCUGCCCUUUCAUCCAAUAAUAUGCCUUUGGUGUCGGUGGAGGAGUCUACAGUUGGUCAGCAGCAGAAGGAGCGCCUGACUGUGUCGCUGGCAGAACACAAAAACAUUCAGCACGUCGGAAGGAGUGAUUGGUCAGCACAGCAGUCCAACCACUCGAACCACAAAGCACAAAGACGGCCGACAAACCGGAGGUACUCGAUACAAGGGCAUGAUCGCUCCCCAGCUUCCCACCCACAAACACUGCCAAUGCUUCUCUCUUCUCUGUCACCUAACUAACAAUAUCAAUAAUGGCAACAUUUCAUGAUUUAUAGACUAUUGUGGAAUCAUUGACACGAAAAUGUCAGUGACCGAUCAACUGGCUCUCAGUGAAGCACCUCUACUUCAAACCCACAUGGCUGACAAGGACGUGCUCUCAGCACUACCUCCGUUUGUUGGCUACCACCUGUAGAUGCUGACAUGUAGAAUUUUUCAUCGUAAUCUGUAAAUCCCCCAAAUAAGAAUUUGCUGCCGCUUAUAAGUGAGAUUUGUUUUAAUUACUGAUUAACUUGAUCAAUACAGUUUCCUUGUUUGAUCUACUAUUAAGGUCCCAAUUAAGACCUCGCUCACUGUGCAUUUGGUAAACCAUUAUGUGAUACAAAGAAAGUUACAGGCACUCACUAAGUUUGCAGAGAGAAGUGAAAUUAUCGUGGCUCCACGCUGGCUGAUCGGGGAUCUUCAGAUUGAACUACUCAGAAAGUACAAAUUCCCUUUCAGCAUCUCUCAAAGGGGUGAAAACAAAUUAUUGGAGCUUUCUGACACUGCAAUUAUUAUUUUUCGGUGCACUUAGUGCACUAUGAAGCUAAUAGAGUAAUACGUUUCUGAUCAUGCAAAGUCUUUUAGUGUUGAUACACACGGCUGCCGAGCAAGCUUGAAUGUUUGCCAGCGCCUAACCACUAAAUGAGUUACAGAUGCAUUAUCCUGCCCUCCCACCACACGGGCCUUUCAUCUGCGAAAAUGAGUUUGACCAUUUCCACAGAAGUAUCCGCUCUCCAUUUACCAACUGCAAACCAGAGUCAUUAGCAACACACAAAGGAACUGCUGAGGAAUAAUCAGUCACGAGUGAUUGACCCAUGCAUCUUUAUAUCUCUCAGUUUUAUCAUCACACCAUCAGAUCAUAGGUUAUGACCUCUCAUCCUUGACUUUCCUUUUAGCAGUUACACCAAACCCAACAGAUUACCUAACAUGACAGACGUCAAGUAAAUCUGAACUCCUUACACUGGACGUAAUCACUCCCAAAAAAUACUCUCAAUUAAACUUGACUCUGUCGCCAAUAUGCAGUCUAUGUACAGAUCGACUUUUUGUCUCAUCCAUGCACAUGUUUUAGAAAAGAAUAGAUCUGUAUUGUCAUUGUAUCAAGACAACGAAACAAAGUUUAGCAGCUCUCAAGCUUGACAACAUGAAUUUGUCAAUCCUCGGACUUGUAAAGAUUUAGCCCUCCUGUGGAAAACGGUUUGCUCCUUAUUAUCAUAAGAUUUUGAAAUGUGAAGUUGCAUGCACCACCAAUGUAUUGUGCCUGAAUAAACAUGACUGGCCUAACAGCGGCAAAAGGAUGUUGAUUUUACCUCUGCACACUCCCACAAAAUCUCAAUGUGUUCUGUUGUUAUGAUGUUGUAAAUAAUGACCUUUCACUGGCGGAGAGGCAUAGUGCUAAAGAGGGACCUAUCUUAUCCUGGACAAAAGCACCAAGUACAAUUCAAGAAAUCAUGUGACCUCAUAAAUAUCAUGACUCCUCCAUGACAUGUGACUUUUGACAUAUUUGUAUUCAUUUAAUUUCUUUCUCUUGUUUAUUUUGAUGCGUCACACUAAUUUGUCUUUUUGUUUUGGUCUGUUAUGUCUUACUUUGUAUUAUUCAAGGUUAUGCCUAUCAGCAAUGCAUCAAACAUAACCUAAUUUAAUGUAAAUUUAAAAAAAUGUAGUCUUGCCCUGCCGUACUCAAGACUUUUAAGAUCCCCCCAUCUGUCAGAAAGUACAAGAUUGCUCAACUUCUCGCCGUCUGACUUUGUUUCUAGUUUACACAUACUGCGAGAGAAAAAACAGGUCAGACAAAUGAAUGUAAGCAACAGAGGAGGAGGUACAGGAUGAUACAUGAUGAGACAAGUAGUUUGUGCUGUAAGUCACUGAACUUGUGUGCAGAUGAAAUAUGCUCAAGAGAGAUUUAGGUCUGUAGGGGCUUACCAACUUGAUAGAAGGACAAGGAGAAUUUAUGAAAAUAACCAAUUGGCAUGGGACUAGUGAGAGCAACCAAGUAACAAGAGCAGAACUUAAAGUGCUGACUUUUUUACUCCAUCAGUUCUUUUUACAUUAAUACAGUGAUAACGGUGUUG
This 2981-nucleotide long non-coding RNA is filed under the name Scophthalmus maximus (turbot). RNAcentral describes it as "lncRNA (ENSSMAG00000026217.1)". Lineage: Eukaryota; Metazoa; Chordata; Actinopteri; Pleuronectiformes; Scophthalmidae. The record is from RNAcentral.